AUUGAACGCUGGCGGCAGGCCUAACACAUGCAAGUCGAACGGUAACAGGAAGCAGCUUGCUGCUUCGCUGACGAGUGGCGGACGGGUGAGUAAUGUCUGGGAAGCUGCCUGAUGGAGGGGGAUAACUACUGGAAACGGUAGCUAAUGCCGCAUAAUGUCGCAAGACCAAAGAGGGGGACCUUCGGGCCUCUUGCCAUCGGAUGUGCCCAGAUGGGAUUAGCUUGUUGGUGGGGUAACGGCUCACCAAGGCGACGAUCCCUAGCUGGUCUGAGAGGAUGACCAGCCACACUGGAACUGAGACACGGUCCAGACUCCUACGGGAGGCAGCAGUGGGGAAUAUUGCACAAUGGGCGCAAGCCUGAUGCAGCCAUGCCGCGUGUAUGAAGAAGGCCUUCGGGUUGUAAAGUACUUUCAGCGGGGAGGAAGGGAGUAAAGUUAAUACCUUUGCUCAUUGACGUUACCCGCAGAAGAAGCACCGGCUAACUCCGUG
This 490-nucleotide ribosomal RNA is filed under the name uncultured bacterium. RNAcentral describes it as "partial 16S ribosomal RNA". It matches the Rfam family "Bacterial small subunit ribosomal RNA", at positions 30 to 507 of the family's 1533-position model. The record is from RNAcentral.